Ostrea edulis (European flat oyster) is the source of this 936-nucleotide long non-coding RNA. RefSeq lists it as uncharacterized. The transcript is spliced from 2 exons. NCBI's taxonomy places the organism in Eukaryota, Metazoa, Mollusca, Bivalvia, Ostreida, Ostreidae. The record is from RefSeq and is a predicted model, not a curated record.
AUGAGCUCCGGGGCCAAGGUGAGGUAACAAUAGUCAUUUCAUGAAGAAACUUUAAGAUAGAGAAGAGUGAUUAAUCUUACAUAGUUGUUUAAACAAUUCGUCCAAUUAACAUGUAUACAUGCUUAAGAAGUGUAUAGAUUCACGAUUGUUCACACAUUCAACUCUGGGGCCUGGGUGGGGUCACAAAAGUGUUUCUAUAAAUAGGUAGGUAGGUGUACAUGUAUACAUACAUAGAUAAAAGUUGGUUUUGUAUACCUUACUGAUUUUAUAUUUUGCUUUUAAUGACGUUGGUGCAUUUUGUCUCUUUCUCUCAAUUUAAAUCCCACGAACAAUGUCGUAGGCGAUACCAAUAGAUUAAUAUGAAUUUAUAUACCCUGAUGCUAUUGAUUUAAAAUCCACCCCAGUCUGUAUUAAAUCGAUUUCACCCUACCAAAUAAUUUGGCAUUCAUUCAAGUUCUGAUACGCUGGAAAGGGACAUUCAUGUACUAUACAGACUGAAAGAUAAGUUUCUACUAUUUCUGUAUCAAAGUAUCACAUUUUCUCUAUAUUAUGCAAGUAACGAAACCAUUAGGCAAGAGAUAAAAAGAAUGAGGGAAAAGGCGAUGUGUUUACAUUGUCUUUGCAAACUUCGGGACACCUUAUUCUUACCAUGUCAGCACUUUCUUUACUGCAACAGCUGUGGGAGAGACUUUGUUAGAUGUGAGAAGUGUUGCAGACUUAUAGAAGACAGAUUGAGACUGAGUAUGGUCAGGUGUUAGAUGUGAGAAGUGUUGCAGACUUAUAGAAGACAGAUUGAGACUGAGUAUGGUCAGGUGUUAGGUUUCGUGUAGACUCUUUAAUGCAAUAUUUCAUCUUGGGAUAACGACAAGCAUGCUGCAAUUAUAUAACAAUAUGUGUAUGAGAAUAUGGAAUGACCAAUAAAUAUUAUAAAGUAUA